Molecule: long non-coding RNA, 474 nt
Filed under: Coturnix japonica (Japanese quail)
Lineage: Eukaryota; Metazoa; Chordata; Aves; Galliformes; Phasianidae
Description: lncRNA (ENSCJPG00005018348.1)
Source: RNAcentral
UAUACUGUUGAGCAUCAUGGAACACUGCACCACACAACACAGGGGAAAUCUCUCCCUCUACCACUUCACCUACAAAAGAUGGGCAGGCAGCAACAUGCACAGUGCAGCCAAUAUUUAACCAUCAUCAUUUCGGACACACUGCAUGCUUUAAGGUCAGCAUUUCUGCUGCAGCUUGGAGUUACUUGGUCUCUGUUCAGCAGGAAGGCAGGAAGAACAGCAAGCAGACACUUAUAAUAAUCAAUCUGUUAUGCAAUCAAGAGCAAAAAGUUAUCUUUGUGUGGACAGAUUUGAUUCAGUUCAGCAGCAUUUCUUGGUACUAUAAUGAAGAUGCUCAACAGUGAAUAAUUUCUAAGGGCUGUUAUAUUCAAGCCUGAUUGAUCAGUAUUUUAUGAAAAGAACCUGAAUAUAGAUCUCUAGACAGUUUAUGCCAAGGGGCAAGCAGUUGUAACUUAUUCAUACCUACCAUAGGCUUCC